Molecule: long non-coding RNA, 1570 nt
Organism: Bos taurus (domestic cattle)
Lineage: Eukaryota; Metazoa; Chordata; Mammalia; Artiodactyla; Bovidae
Source: Ensembl
ACUGGCACCUGUGUAGCCUUCGCAGAGGGUCUUUACUGACUCUGAGGGCUGUAGCAUGGUGAAAAGGAGAAGACGAUGGCACCCCACUCCAGUACUCUUGCCUAGAAAAUCCCAUGGACAGAGGAUCCUGUGUUUUGCCGCUGGUAAUGCAAGCACCGUAUCCUAUUAGAAGCUUGACUCCUCAGCAAAUUGCUCAAUUACAUCACUAGCCACCUCCACUUCAUUGGGCCCUGUUCAUCUGAUGACAACUUAGUAUAAUGUAAAACAUCUAAUGAUGCUGUGGAGCUACCUUGGAACUGGGGAGAGGAUGACCAUGGGGACUUCUAGGUCCCAAAAUUAUUUUCUUCCAUUUGUUAAAACAGAUCUACAGUGACUUAAAUGGUAUGAAUGCCAAGCCAGUUGAGAAGUGGAAGUGCAGGACCUUGAAAUGUCCUUCAGGCACAUGCAAGCCUGCUUGGGCAUGUGAUUCCAUUCUUUUCCAUGGGUUUACAAUGUAAACAAGCUGGGGGGGUGUCUUCUUAAGUAGCUACAUGAUUAUAAAAAGGGCUAAUAGCUACUUCUAAUCUUACCUACUCAAUGCUGGAGGAAUUUCCUCUUAUUAAGGACUUUGUCUUGGAUUUUGGAUUUAAGAUUUUAUAACCUAAAUGGAGCAAAAGAGGGAAAAUGAGCUAUUUAGUUUCAUACAUUCCAACCAGAAACUUUCAGAAGUGUACCCUAUGGACACAGCUGCUCAUCAGAGAGGUUAUUUUUUUUUGUUUGUUUAAGGGUCAGCCCUUAGCAAAACUGUGAAAUAGCCAAUGUUGAUCCUAAGACAUGUUCUGAUACCUUUUUGAGUUCUCUUUGGCUCCUCAACCCCAGGUGUCUGGUGACUUCCUAAUGGCUUGGAUCUUCCAAGUUAUGAAGGAAAGAGAUCUGGUAAAUUAAAAUAGAGUGUCAAGAUACUUAAUCUAUUAUCUCUGUUAGAAAUUUUGAAAGAGACUGCUCAUAAAGGGUAAAUCCGUAUUGGUGGGAGUUGAACUAUAAAUGGUCUCAGUGAAAGAAGUGCACACAGUGCAUACAGAGAUUAGGAGACUCUAAUCUUUAUAUCCCAACUGCCUAUUAUGCUGCAGUAUAAAGCCAACCCUACCUUGAGCUCUUAUCAAGUAAUGGUCAGAAAGCUAAACUAUUCAAAAUUAAAUAAUUAUAACUACCAUUCCCCAAGUAUCAGUAAGCCUCUGGGGUUGAAAUAAUCUUGGAAGGUACAUAAUGUAAGGUUAAAAGAAAAAUAACUUUGAUCUACAAACCUAUCAAUCAAUUUGAGAACUGUUUAGAAAAAUCACAUUGUGGUUAAGGCACCCAAAGCUUAGAAAGAUCAAGGGAAUUAUUUUCAGUUCAAAUAUCUAUAAUCUUUUGGAACAUACAGCUCUAGGAACUCAAAACUGAUUUUUUUUGUGUGUGUGUGGAUUAGAAUUGUGUCUCCUAGUUUGAAUAUGUCAUUGCCCUUUAUUUUCCAUAUAAAUAAAAUGCACCAUGUUUUUAUGAGAAUUUUGAUAUAAAGCUAAACAGAAGGUUCAACAUAUUUAUAUUAUUA